This is a non-coding RNA of Sarcophilus harrisii (Tasmanian devil), 67 nucleotides long. Lineage: Eukaryota; Metazoa; Chordata; Mammalia; Dasyuromorphia; Dasyuridae. The record is from Rfam.
GGUAAAAUGGCUGAGAAUAAGCAUUGAACUGUAAAUUCAAAGACAGAGAUAGAGUCUCUUUUUACCA